This 1741-nucleotide long non-coding RNA is filed under the name Homo sapiens (human). RNAcentral describes it as "HSALNT0195523". Lineage: Eukaryota; Metazoa; Chordata; Mammalia; Primates; Hominidae. The record is from RNAcentral.
GUAUAGUUCAGAUGAGUGAGGAUCUGGCCUCGAUUCAUCCUCCCUCCCUCACACUUAGUCAGAAACCAGGGAAGGGCCUACUGGAUGGAGGGGGAAUUGGCUCACAAGCACUGGAAGUUUGCCACUGCUCCAAGUACGCUGCUCUCUGAAGCAACCUUUCUCUUUCCCCUGGGAGAAAAAAGCCUCCAAGCAGGGUGUAGGAGAGGGCAGAGGGAAUGGCUGCCGAGGGCCCUAGGCCAGCCUUAUUUCUGUGCAGCGGGUUGAAUGGUGUCUCCCAUUCAUGUCCACCUGGAAACUCAGAAUGUGACCUUUUUUGGAAACAGGGUCUUUGCAAAUAUCAUUCAGCUUAGAAAGAGGAAGUUCGUGGGUUGCAAAGUGAGUAAUGGCUGCAUCUGGGAGCUGAUCAAAGGUGGCCAGCCAAGUUGAGUAGCCAGUUCGGUGUAUGAGACUUAACAACACUGGUGGAAGCAGAACCCUGCUGCCCGUGUCUGGGUGGGCGAGAGACUGGGGAAACACGGCCAGGAAGCAGCCCGGCAGAUGGGGGCUGAGCGCACUGGCAGGGGCAGGAGGAGCUGCAGAUCUUUUCUCAGUUGAGCUUCAGAUGAGACCACAGCCCCAGCCAGCUUCUUAAGUGCAGCCUCAUAAGAAACCGUAAGCAGAGAACCAAGAUAAACCAUGCCUGAACUCCUGAUCCACAGAAACUGUGAAAUAGAUCUGCCUGGAACCUGCCGGCCCCCUGCAGCUGGCUUCUUAAAUGCCUGCAGCUGGUGCAAGCCUCUCACUCCAAGAUGUUUCCACCCCAGACACAUCCCAGAGCCCCCUGCAUCUCCUGGGAGGACGAGGAUGGAUGGAAGCGUGCUGCCAACGCUGGGACACCUGCUUGCUUUCUGGGCAGUGGCCAGGAAAUCGCAUCUGCUGCCAGAAGAGAGCACCUGCACAUCCCGGAGAAGGGAAGGGGACAGAGCCGUGUGAUUCUAGCAGAGGAACACCCAUAGGAUUCCUUCUGUUGUUCCCAAGGUCCAGGCUCCCAGGCUGAGUAGGCAGGAAGGAGAAUGUGUCUUCACACAGGAAGCCUCACUGCCCAGAACAUGGGACAGAUCUAGCUGGAGCUGUGCUCAAACAGCUGUGGAGGCAUUAUAAAUCUCUCUCCCCGAGAUGAGGUUCAGAGGCUCUUGACAUGCCCUGCUAAUGGUAAAUCUUCCAGUGCCCACAGAGCAAGCCCUGGACUCUUAGAGCAUCAAGGUGAGACUGCCUGCCCCCCUUAAGCCUGUUAAUGGCAUCAGUGAUGUAUUCCCCUCCAAAUGUGGAAGGCUGCCUCUUUCUUCAUUGGAAGCAUCAAGGGAGUUUUAACUGUAAAACAGACUGUGCUUCAAAUCCCAUCUAAAUGCCUCAUCCUGAAGCUCUGACCUGCCACUUUUCUGCAAAUGACACUGGGUGAUUUGAAUGGGAUUAGAUUGGACAGUGGCCCCUGGCUGUUGUUUAAGUUUGUGUGGGUUUUGUUGUUUGUUUGUUUUAAUGCAACCUGUCUUUAAAUCUUCACUUUCAAAAAAAAAAAAAAGUGGUCAUUAGCCUUAUUUUUUAUUUAGAGGAUGUGAAGUCAGAAGUUCCCUUCCCUGAUUUAUUACCUCAUAGGUUUAUGACUUUGAAGAAUCAUUUCAUCUCUUUUAGUUUCCUCAUCUGUAGAAAGGUGAUUGUAAACUCUUUCUUAUCGGCUGGAUACAAAGAUGAAAUGAGAUAUCCU